Molecule: ribosomal RNA, 550 nt
Filed under: uncultured bacterium
Lineage: Bacteria
Description: partial 16S ribosomal RNA
Rfam family: Bacterial small subunit ribosomal RNA
Source: RNAcentral
UGGGGAAUAUUGCACAAUGGGCGCAAGCCUGAUGCAGCCAUGCCGCGUGUGUGAAGAAGGCCUUCGGGUUGUAAAGCACUUUCAGCGAGGAGGAAGGUGGUGAGCUUAAUACGCUCAUCAAUUGACGUUACUCGCAGAAGAAGCACCGGCUAACUCCGUGCCAGCAGCCGCGGUAAUACGGAGGGUGCAAGUGUUAAUCGGAAUUACUGGGCGUAAAGCGCACGCAGGCGGUUUGUUAAGUCAGAUGUGAAAUCCCCGGGCUCAACCUGGGAACUGCAUUUGAAACUGGCAAGCUAGAGUCUCGUAGAGGGGGGUAGAAUUCCAGGUGUAGCGGUGAAAUGCGUAGAGAUCUGGAGGAAUACCGGUGGCGAAGGCGGCCCCCUGGACGAAGACUGACGCUCAGGUGCGAAAGCGUGGGGCAGCAAACAGGAUUAGAUACCCUGGUAGUCCACGCUGUAAACGAUGUCGAUUUUGGAGGUUGUGCCCUUGAGGCGUGGCUUCCGGAGCUAACGCGUUAAAUCGACCGCCUGGGGAGUACGGCCGCAAGGUU